UGGGGAACUUUGGACAAUGGGCGCAAGCCUGAUCCAGCCAUGCCGCGUGCGGGAAGAAGGCCUUCGGGUUGUAAACCGCUUCUGUCAGGGAAGAAACGAGUUUCUCGAAUACAGAGACUUAAUGACGGUACCUGAAGAAUAAGCACCGGCUAAUUUCGUGCCAGCAGCCGCGGUAAUACGUAGGGUGCAAGCGUUAAUCGGAAUUACUGGGCGUAAAGCGUGCGCAGGCGGUUAUGCAAGACAGAGGUGAAAUCCCCGGGCUCAACCUGGGAACUGCCUUUGAGACUGCAUAGCUGAAGUACGGUAGAGGGAGAUGGAAUUCCACGUGAAGCAGUGAAAUGCGUAGAUAUGCGGAGGAACACCGAUGGCGAAGGCAAUCCCCUGGACCUGUACUGACGCUCAUGCACGAAAGCGUGGGGAGCAAAC
This 426-nucleotide ribosomal RNA is filed under the name uncultured bacterium. RNAcentral's name for it is "bacterial SSU rRNA". It matches the Rfam family "Bacterial small subunit ribosomal RNA", at positions 355 to 773 of the family's 1533-position model. The record is from RNAcentral.